RNAcentral lists this long non-coding RNA (336 nucleotides) under Vulpes vulpes (red fox). RNAcentral's name for it is "lncRNA (ENSVVUG00000000750.1)". Lineage: Eukaryota; Metazoa; Chordata; Mammalia; Carnivora; Canidae. The record is from RNAcentral.
GGCAAAUUGUGGAAUCUACGUAGGGCAAACUGAGCUACUCAAAUUCAAACAUAGUUGUCCACAGGAACACACGACUCUACAGAGAAUAAAGUGUUCUGCCUACGCGUAUUACUCCCUUGUGUCUUCUUGACUCAGAAAGUGCUGGGCCAUUCAUAUGAGUUGCUCUGAGGACUGGAGGUAUUGAAUCUGAAAAUCAAAGUGUUCUACAAAUACACACAUCGCUGUGCCAACCUGAGGACCACUACUUCUUCAUGAGCAUAUUUCCUGGGUCCACAGCAUAUGUUUUUAUUGUUACUUAAGUUUAAGACCCUCUACACCUAUAAGAGGUUACAAAAG